Molecule: ribosomal RNA, 509 nt
Filed under: uncultured bacterium
Lineage: Bacteria
Description: bacterial SSU rRNA
Rfam family: Bacterial small subunit ribosomal RNA
Source: RNAcentral
GAUUAUGGCUCAGGAUGAACGCUAGCGGCAGGCUUAACACAUGCAAGUCGAGGGGCAGCGCGAGUAGCAAUACUUGGCGGCGACCGGCGCAAGGGUGCGUAACGCGUGAGCAACAUGCCCGUAUCAGGGGGAUAAUCCAGGGAAACUUGGUCUAAUACCCCAUAGUAAUUUUGUAAGGCAUCUUAUAGGAUUUAAAGCUUUGGUGGAUACGGAUUGGCUCGCGUGACAUUAGCUGGAUGGUAAGGUAACGGCUUACCAUGGCUAUGAUGUCUAGGGGUUCUGAGAGGAAGGUCCCCCACACUGGAACUGAGACACGGUCCAGACUCCUACGGGAGGCAGCAGUGAGGAAUAUUGGACAAUGGAUGGAAAUCUGAUCCAGCCAUGCCGCGUGAAAGGAAGAAGGUCCUAUGGAUUGUAAACUUCUUUUGUAUGGGAGCAAUAAGGCCUACGAGUAGGUUGAUGAGAGUACCAUACGAGUAAGCACCGGCUAACUCCGUGCCAGCCGCCGC